GCGCCGAACCUUACCUACUCUUGACAUCCACGGAAUUCGCUAGAGAUAGCUUAGUGCCUUCGGGAACCGUGAGACAGGUGCUGCAUGGCUGUCGUCAGCUCGUGUUGUGAAAUGUUGGGUUAAGUCCCGCAACGAGCGCAACCCUUAUCCUUUGUUGCCAGCACGUAAUGGUGGGAACUCAAAGGAGACUGCCGGUGAUAAACCGGAGGAAGGUGGGGAUGACGUCAAGUCAUCAUGGCCCUUACGAGUAGGGCUACACACGUGCUACAAUGGCAUAUACAAAGAGAAGCAAACUCGCGAGAGCAAGCGGACCUCAUA
RNAcentral lists this ribosomal RNA (318 nucleotides) under uncultured bacterium. Its description in RNAcentral is "bacterial SSU rRNA". It matches the Rfam family "Bacterial small subunit ribosomal RNA", at positions 961 to 1278 of the family's 1533-position model. The record is from RNAcentral. RNAcentral also lists the same sequence under 1 other name.